RNAcentral lists this ribosomal RNA (344 nucleotides) under Ixodes scapularis (black-legged tick). RNAcentral describes it as "partial 12S ribosomal RNA". Lineage: Eukaryota; Metazoa; Arthropoda; Arachnida; Ixodida; Ixodidae. The record is from RNAcentral.
AUUAUUUUAAGCUAUAUAUUAGGAGUAAAUAAAAUUUAUGAAAUUAAAAAAUUUUGGCGGUAUUUUAAGCUUAUUAGAGGAAUUUGCUCUGUGAUGGACACAACGCCUUAAUCUUACUUAAUUUAGUAAUUUAAAUCAGUUUGUAUACCACUAUAUUAAUUAUAUUGAAUAGUUAUAUUUAAAAAUUUUUUAAAAAAAUAUAUUAAGUCAAGGUGCAUCUAAUAAUUAUGAAUGAAGUGAAUUACAUUAAUUUUAAUGUAAUUUUUUACAUGAAAAAAUUAAUUAGGAUUUAAUAGUAAAAUACUAAUAUUAUGAGUAUUUGAAUCAAGCUCUAAAAUAUGCAC